This 1554-nucleotide ribosomal RNA is filed under the name Salmonella enterica subsp. enterica serovar Kentucky. Its description in RNAcentral is "bacterial SSU rRNA". It matches the Rfam family "Bacterial small subunit ribosomal RNA". The record is from RNAcentral. Lineage: Bacteria; Pseudomonadati; Pseudomonadota; Gammaproteobacteria; Enterobacterales; Enterobacteriaceae.
AAAUUGAAGAGUUUGAUCAUGGCUCAGAUUGAACGCUGGCGGCAGGCCUAACACAUGCAAGUCGAACGGUAACAGGAAGCAGCUUGCUGCUUCGCUGACGAGUGGCGGACGGGUGAGUAAUGUCUGGGAAACUGCCUGAUGGAGGGGGAUAACUACUGGAAACGGUGGCUAAUACCGCAUAACGUCGCAAGACCAAAGAGGGGGACCUUCGGGCCUCUUGCCAUCAGAUGUGCCCAGAUGGGAUUAGCUUGUUGGUGAGGUAACGGCUCACCAAGGCGACGAUCCCUAGCUGGUCUGAGAGGAUGACCAGCCACACUGGAACUGAGACACGGUCCAGACUCCUACGGGAGGCAGCAGUGGGGAAUAUUGCACAAUGGGCGCAAGCCUGAUGCAGCCAUGCCGCGUGUAUGAAGAAGGCCUUCGGGUUGUAAAGUACUUUCAGCGGGGAGGAAGGUGUUGCGGUUAAUAACCGCAGCAAUUGACGUUACCCGCAGAAGAAGCACCGGCUAACUCCGUGCCAGCAGCCGCGGUAAUACGGAGGGUGCAAGCGUUAAUCGGAAUUACUGGGCGUAAAGCGCACGCAGGCGGUCUGUCAAGUCGGAUGUGAAAUCCCCGGGCUCAACCUGGGAACUGCAUUCGAAACUGGCAGGCUUGAGUCUUGUAGAGGGGGGUAGAAUUCCAGGUGUAGCGGUGAAAUGCGUAGAGAUCUGGAGGAAUACCGGUGGCGAAGGCGGCCCCCUGGACAAAGACUGACGCUCAGGUGCGAAAGCGUGGGGAGCAAACAGGAUUAGAUACCCUGGUAGUCCACGCCGUAAACGAUGUCUACUUGGAGGUUGUGCCCUUGAGGCGUGGCUUCCGGAGCUAACGCGUUAAGUAGACCGCCUGGGGAGUACGGCCGCAAGGUUAAAACUCAAAUGAAUUGACGGGGGCCCGCACAAGCGGUGGAGCAUGUGGUUUAAUUCGAUGCAACGCGAAGAACCUUACCUGGUCUUGACAUCCACAGAACUUUCCAGAGAUGGACUGGUGCCUUCGGGAACUGUGAGACAGGUGCUGCAUGGCUGUCGUCAGCUCGUGUUGUGAAAUGUUGGGUUAAGUCCCGCAACGAGCGCAACCCUUAUCCUUUGUUGCCAGCGGUUAGGCCGGGAACUCAAAGGAGACUGCCAGUGAUAAACUGGAGGAAGGUGGGGAUGACGUCAAGUCAUCAUGGCCCUUACGACCAGGGCUACACACGUGCUACAAUGGCGCAUACAAAGAGAAGCGACCUCGCGAGAGCAAGCGGACCUCAUAAAGUGCGUCGUAGUCCGGAUUGGAGUCUGCAACUCGACUCCAUGAAGUCGGAAUCGCUAGUAAUCGUGGAUCAGAAUGCCACGGUGAAUACGUUCCCGGGCCUUGUACACACCGCCCGUCACACCAUGGGAGUGGGUUGCAAAAGAAGUAGGUAGCUUAACCUUCGGGAGGGCGCUUACCACUUUGUGAUUCAUGACUGGGGUGAAGUCGUAACAAGGUAACCGUAGGGGAACCUGCGGUUGGAUCACCUCCUUACCUGAAAGAAGC